CGUAAACAGAGGGAAGCGAGACGGUGACGUUGAGCAAAUCCCAGAAAUAACGUCCCAGUUCGGAUUGUAGUCUGCAACCCGACUACAUGAAGCUGGAAUCGCUAGUAAUCGCGGAUCAGAAUGCCGCGGUGAAUACGUUCCCGGGUCUUGUACACACCGCCCGUCACACCAUGGGAGUUGGAAAUGCCCGAAGUCAGUGGCCCAACCGAAAGGAGGGAGCUGCCGAAGGCAGGUUCGAUAACUGGGGUGAAGUCGUAACAAGGUAAC
RNAcentral lists this ribosomal RNA (267 nucleotides) under uncultured bacterium. RNAcentral describes it as "partial 16S ribosomal RNA". It matches the Rfam family "Bacterial small subunit ribosomal RNA", at positions 1234 to 1500 of the family's 1533-position model. The record is from RNAcentral.